AUUAAGAGUAUAUGGCGGAUGCCUUGACAUAAGAGAACGAUGAAGGACGUAGCAGCCUGCGAUAAGCUUCGGUGAGGUGGCAAGCAACCCUUGACCCGAAGAUUUCCGAAUGGGGAAACCUCCCCGGUUGUAGACCGGGGGUCCGCUGGCUGAACACAUAAGCCAGUGAGACGAUUACCCGGUGAAUUGAAACAUCUUAGUAGCCGGAGGAAAAGAAAAAAAGCCUGAGCAAUCAGGAAUAUUCCGUGAGUAGUGGCGAGCGAAAACGGAGGAGUCUAAACCGAUUUAACAUCCCUAGUUGAAGCGAGCUGGAAAGCUCCGCCAGAGAAGGUGAAAGCCCUGUAACAGCAAAAGGGGUUAUUGCUCUGCGGCAUAUCUCUUAAGUACUGCGGGACUCGUGAAAUCCCGUGGGAAGCCGGGUCGACUAUGACCCAAGACUAAAUAUCUCUUAUGAUCGAUAGUGAACAAGUACCGUGAGGGAAAGGUGAAAAGCAGCCCGGUGAGGGCGGUGAAAUAGUACCUGAAACCAUAUACUUACAAGGAGUUGGAGCCCCGGUUCGCCGGGGUGACAGCGUGCCUAUUGAAGAAUGAGCCAACGAGUUUGUUCUAUGUGGCUUGACUAAGUUCCGUUUGGAAUGGAGUCGAAGUGAAAGCGAGGGUUAAUAGCCCGUAUCCACUUAUUUUGCAGAUACCAGGCCUUCUGGUGGCUGCAAAAUAACGUGGAAUGUCGCAUGGACAAGACCCGAAGCCGGGUGAUCUAGCCAUGGCCAGGUUGAAGUAGUACGAAAGUACUAUGGAGGACCGAACCCACAAGCCGUUCAAUACUUGGGGAUGAGCUGUGGCUGGCGGAGAAAUUCCAAUCGAACUCGGCAAUAGCUGGUUCUCCUCGAAAUAGCUUUAGGGCUAGCGUCGGAUGCUGACUACUGGGGGUAGAGCACUGAAUGAGACAGGGGCCGCAAGGUACCCUUCUUAACCAAACUCCGAAUACCAGUAGGUGAAGUCCGGCAGUCAGACUAUGGGGGCUAAGCUUCAUCAGUCAAAAGGGAAACAGCCCAGACCGCAAUCUAAGGUCCCAAAAUAUAUGCUAAGUGUAAAAGGUGGUGUCGCGACUGCGACAACUAGGAGGUUGGCUUAGAAGCAGCCAUCCUUUAAAGAUAGCGUAAUAGCUCACUAGUCUAGUUGUCUCGCGCCGAAAAUGUACCGGGGCUAAGCAUAUUACCGAAGAUGCGGGCCAGCUGGCGGUAGAGGAGCAUUCUAUACGCGCAGAAGCCGAAUUGUGAAGUUUGGUGGAGCUUAUAGAAGAGAGAAUGUUGGCAUGAGUAGCAAAAAGGCGGGUGAGAACCCCGCCCACCGUAAGUCUCAGGGUUCCUGGGCAACGUAAAUCGUCCCAGGGUUAGUCGGUCCUAAGGCGAGGCCUCUGUAGUGGGGGCGUAGUCGAUGGAUUAGCUGGUCAAUAUUCCAGCACUGCUGCAGUUUUCCGAUGGGGAGACGCAGUUCUAGAGUUUAUACGUGCUAUGGUAUGUACGUUGUUUGUUUUAAAGCGCGAUCCAGGCAAAUCCGGAUCAACAGCGCGGAGAAAUCGACUAAAGAUGAAGCCUCGGCGGAUUCAAAUAAGCAAAAGAGCUGCCUAGAAAAACCUCUAGGGCUAAGGCUGCAGCAACCGUACCGCAAACCAACACAGGUAGACGAGGCGAGUAGCCUCAGGUGAACGAGAGAAGCCGCAGCUAAAGAAGCCCGAGCGACUGUUUAUCAAAAACACAGCUCCCUGCUAACUCGUAAGAGGAUGUAUAGGGGGUGACGCCUGGCCAGUGUCCGAACGUUAAGGGGAGAGGUUAGACCUUCGGGUUGAAGCUUUGAACUGAAGCGCGGAUGAACGCCGGCCGUAACUAUAACGGUCCUAAGGUAGCGAAAUUCCUUGUCAGGUAAGUUCUGACCUGCACGAAUGGCGUAACGACUUGGGUACUGUCUCAACGAAGAACUCGGCGAAAUUGCAAGACGAGUAAAGAUGCUCGUUAACCAUAGCUGGACGAAAAGACCCCGUGAAGCUUUACUAUAGCUUAAUAUUGGGUUAUGACUAUGCAUGUUCAGAAUAGGUGGGAGCCGCAAGGCAACAGUGAGAUACCACCCUUGUAUAUUUGUAACCCUAACCCUCAGGCCUUGAAUCAGGUCAGGGGACAGUAUUUGGUGGGUAGUUUGUCUGGGGCGGAUGCCUCCCAAAGAGUAACGGAGGCGUUUACAAAGGUUGGCUAUCCCGGAAUGGAAACCCGGGAGAUAGUGUAAAAAGUCGAGCAGUUGCGAAAGCAGAACUUAGUGAUCCGACCGUUCGAUAUAGGACGGCGGAAGCUCAUCGGAUAAAAGCUACUCCGGGGAUAACAGGCUAGUCACGCCCAAGCGUCCACAGCGACGGCGUGGUUCGGCACCUCGAUGUCGGCUCGUCGCAUCCUGGGGGUGAAGAAGCUCCCAAGGGUUGGGCUGUUCGCCCAUUAAAGCGGCACGCGAGCUGGGUUCAGACCGUCGUAAGACAGGUCGGUCUCCUAUCCACUAUGGUCGUGGAAACUUGAGAAGGCUCUUCCCUAGUACGAGAGGACCGGGAAGGACGAAGCUCUAGUGUGCCGGCUGUCCCACCAGGGGCAUUGCCGGGUAGCUACCUUCGGUUUGGAUAAGCGCUGAAGGCAUAUAAGCGCGAAGCCGUCUUCAAGAUUAGGUUUCAUAGAGUCGUCGGAGAACACGACGUUAAUAGGCUCUAGGUGUAAGUGCAGUAAUGCAUUCAGCCGAGGAGUACUAAUCACUCAAAUGAUUU
This 2800-nucleotide ribosomal RNA is filed under the name Candidatus Falkowbacteria bacterium GW2011_GWE2_38_254. RNAcentral's name for it is "bacterial LSU rRNA". It matches the Rfam family "Bacterial large subunit ribosomal RNA". The record is from RNAcentral. Lineage: Bacteria; Candidatus Falkowiibacteriota.